RNAcentral lists this ribosomal RNA (275 nucleotides) under uncultured bacterium. RNAcentral describes it as "partial 16S ribosomal RNA". It matches the Rfam family "Bacterial small subunit ribosomal RNA", at positions 523 to 796 of the family's 1533-position model. The record is from RNAcentral.
CUACGGAGGGUGCAAGCGUUAUCCGGAAUUAUUGGGUUUAAAGGGUCCGUAGGCGGCUAGAUAAGUCAGUGGUGAAAUUCUCUCGCUCAACGAGAGACCUGCCAUUGAUACUGUCUUGGCUAGAGUUACAGUGAGGUGAGUGGAAUGUGUAGUGUAGCGGUGAAAUGCAUAGAUAUUACACAGAACACCGAUUGCGAAGGCAGCUCACUAACUGUAUACUGACGCUGAUGGACGAGAGCGUGGGGAGCAAACAGGAUUAGAAACCCUAGUAGUCC